Cladochytrium tenue is the source of this 74-nucleotide non-coding RNA. Lineage: Eukaryota; Fungi; Chytridiomycota; Chytridiomycetes; Cladochytriales; Cladochytriaceae. The record is from the annotation of a GenBank genome assembly.
GCUGCCGUGGCGCAACUGGUUAGCGCGUGUGGCUGUUAACCACAAGGUUGGUGGUUCGAGUCCACCCGGCAGCG